AACGAACGCUGGCGGCAGGCUUAACACAUGCAAGUCGAGCGCAUCCUUCGGGGUGAGCGGCGGACGGGUGAGUAACGCGUGGGAACGUGCCCUCUUCUACGGAAUAGCCUCGGGAAACUGAGAGUAAUGCCGUAUACGCCCGCAAGGGGAAAGAUUUAUCGGAGGAGGAUCGGCCCGCGUUGGAUUAGGUAGUUGGUGGGGUAACGGCCUACCAAGCCGACGAUCCAUAGCUGGUAUGAGAGGAUGAUAAGCCACACUGGGAAUGAGACACGGACCAGACUCCUACGGGAGGCAGCAGUGGGGAAUAUUGGACAAUGGGGGCAACCCUGAUCAAGCCAUGCCGCGUGAUCGAUGAAGGCCUUAGGGUUGUAAAGAUCUUUCAGCUGGGAAGAUAAUGACGGUAACAGCAGAAGAAGCCCCGGCUAACUACGUG
This 433-nucleotide ribosomal RNA is filed under the name uncultured bacterium. RNAcentral describes it as "partial 16S ribosomal RNA". It matches the Rfam family "Bacterial small subunit ribosomal RNA", at positions 29 to 507 of the family's 1533-position model. The record is from RNAcentral.